Molecule: ribosomal RNA, 523 nt
Filed under: uncultured eukaryote
Lineage: Eukaryota
Description: bacterial SSU rRNA
Rfam family: Eukaryotic small subunit ribosomal RNA
Source: RNAcentral
UAGUUACAUGCUUGUUUCAAAGAUUUAGCCAUGCAUGUUUAAGUAUAAAUGAUUUUACAGUGAAACUGCGAAUGGCUCAUUAAAUCAGUUAUAAUUUACUUGACAUUUAACUUACUACUUGGAUACCUGUGGUAAUUUUAGAGCUAAUACAUGCGUUAAAGCCUGACUUUUGGAAGGGCUGUAUUUAUUAGAUAAAAAACCAAUGCAGCAAUGCUUUUUUGGUGAAUCAUAGUAACUUGUCGAAUUGUAUGGCCUUGUGCCGGCGAUGCGUCAUUCAAAUUUUUGCCCUAUCAACUUUUGAUGGUAGGAUAGAGGCCUACCAUGGUUUUAACGGGUAACGGAGAAUUAGGGUUUGAUUCCGGAGAGGGAGCCUGAGAAACGGCUACCACUUUUUCGGAAGGCAGCAGGCGCGCAAAUUACCCAAUGGUGACACACCGAGGUAGUGACAAUAAAUAACAAUGCGAGCCCUUUUGGGUUUGCAAUUGGAAUGAGAACAACUUAAUAAACUUAUCGAGUAACAAUU